Molecule: ribosomal RNA, 447 nt
Filed under: uncultured bacterium
Lineage: Bacteria
Description: bacterial SSU rRNA
Rfam family: Bacterial small subunit ribosomal RNA
Source: RNAcentral
GCCAGACUCCUACGGGAGGCAGCAGUGGGGAAUAUUGCACAAUGGGGGAAACCCUGAUGCGGCAACGCCGCGUGAAGGAAGACGGUUUUCGGAUUGUAAACUUCUGUUCUUAGUGAAGAAGAAUGACGGUAGCUAAGGAGCAAGCCACGGCUAACUACGUGCCAGCAGCCGCGGUAAUACGUAGGUGGCAAGCGUUGUCCGGAAUUACUGGGUGUAAAGGGAGCGCAGGCGGGAAGCCAAGUCAGCUGUGAAAACUACGGGCUUAACUUGUAGACUGCAGUUGAAACUGGUUUUCUUGAGUGAAGUAGAGGUUGGCGGAAUUCCGAGUGUAGCGGUGAAAUGCGUAGAUAUACGGAGGAACACCAGUGGCGAAGGCGGAUUGCUGGACAGUAACUGGCGCUGAGGCGCGAAAGCGUGGGGAGCAAACAGGAUUAGAUACCCGUGUAC